GACGAACGCUGGCGGCGUGCUUAACACAUGCAAGUCGAACGGAAAGGCCCUGCUUUUGUGGGGUGCUCGAGUGGCGAACGGGUGAGUAACACGUGAGUAACCUGCCCUUGACUUUGGGAUAACUUCAGGAAACUGGGGCUAAUACCGGAUAGGAGCUCCUGCUGCAUGGUGGGGGUUGGAAAGUUUCGGCGGUUGGGGAUGGACUCGCGGCUUAUCAGCUUGUUGGUGGGGUAGUGGCUUACCAAGGCUUUGACGGGUAGCCGGCCUGAGAGGGUGACCGGCCACAUUGGGACUGCGAUACGGCCCAGACUCCUACGUGAGGCAGCCGUGGGGAAUAUUGCACAAUGGGCGGAAGCCUGAUGCAGCAACGCCGCGUGCGGGAUGACGGCCUUCGGGUUGUAAACCGCUUUCGCCUGUGACGAAGCGUGAGUGACGGUAAUGGGUCCAGAAGCACCGGCUAACUACGUG
This 468-nucleotide ribosomal RNA is filed under the name uncultured bacterium. RNAcentral's name for it is "partial 16S ribosomal RNA". It matches the Rfam family "Bacterial small subunit ribosomal RNA", at positions 28 to 507 of the family's 1533-position model. The record is from RNAcentral.